UGGGGAAUUUUGGACAAUGGGCGCAAGCCUGAUCCAGCCAUGCCGCGUGCGGGAAGAAGGCCUUCGGGUUGUAAACCGCUUUUGUCAGGGAAGAAAUCUUCUGAGUUAAUACCUCGGGAGGAUGACGGUACCUGAAGAAUAAGCACCGGCUAACUACGUGCCAGCAGCCGCGGUAAUACGUAGGGUGCAAGCGUUAAUCGGAAUACUGGGCGUAAAGCGUGCGCAGGCGGUUUUGUAAGACAGAGGUGAAAUCCCCGGGCUCAACCUGGGAACUGCCUUUGUGACUGCAAGGCUUGAGUGCGGCAGAGGGGGAUGGAAUUCCGCGUGUAGCAGUGAAAUGCGUAGAUAUGCGGAGGAACACCGAUGGCGAAGGCAAUCCCCUGGGCCUGCACUGACGCUCAUGCACGAAAGCGUGGGGAGCAAACAGGAUUAGAUACCCUGGUAGUCCACGCCCUAAACGAUGUCAACUGGUUGUUGGGAAGGUUCCUUCUCAGUAACGUAGCUAACGCGUGAAGUUGACCGCCUGGGGAGUACGGCCGCAA
Molecule: ribosomal RNA, 542 nt
Filed under: uncultured bacterium
Lineage: Bacteria
Description: partial 16S ribosomal RNA
Rfam family: Bacterial small subunit ribosomal RNA
Source: RNAcentral